This is a long non-coding RNA of Daphnia pulex (common water flea), 838 nucleotides long. RefSeq lists it as uncharacterized. Lineage: Eukaryota; Metazoa; Arthropoda; Branchiopoda; Diplostraca; Daphniidae. The record is from RefSeq and is a predicted model, not a curated record. The transcript is spliced from 5 exons.
UGUCAGCAACCCUUCUUUACUGACCGCUAGAUGUCACCGUCUUCAAUUGUUUUGUCAUGAUGUAUACAGCUUGCAUCAUGAAACAUGGCGAAACAAAUUGUUGCUAUUGUAGGCCUAUACUUAUUUUUCUGUGAUUCCGAAUACUGAAUUGAACUUCGUUCGUAAAGUCAGUCCGUCAUUCCAACAAGUUGACUUAGUGCUCAGUCACUUUCCAUCCAUUAGACCCUUAUGCUGUCAAAAGCCUGAAACUCAUAUUUGAAGCCCACAUACAGUGAAAUUAGACAAAAGGUCUUGCGCAUGGACCAUAGGAUCUUUUCUGAAUCUUGCAAGUGUAUCCUGUAUCAGAAUGUUAUCUGUUAUCUGUUUCUCUACAGCCGUUCAGAAGGCAACCCAGCUGAGAGAUAGAGUUCCAGUUACAGUGAAUGUACAUGAAGAGUGUGAAGUGUAUUUACAUUUACCAGUUAUCUGCUUCAUGAAAGUCAAAUGCCUUACUGAAUUCGUCACCCAAAUGAUAAAGAACUAUUUGUGACGUCCCCUGAGAUCGCGAGUCGGCCGCCAGUUUCAAUCUACAACGCAGUUUCUUCAUGGAAUCGUAAGAUCCUGAACUUGGGACUUCCACUACGGACUUCCACCACGGACUUCCACCAACAUUCGGAUCCUUAUCUUCACGACGUACGCUGCUUCUUGUGCUUCACUGGCGAAUUAGAUCACUUCAGUGUUCGCUUCCGUCCGCUGUGAAAUAACUGCAGUCACUCGCCACGGGAUUAUGCCCAGGUAAUGCAGAGGAAAUUUCGAGAAGAUGGACACCAUAACGUCGCCGGUAUCUCCAAAGUUUCAG